RNAcentral lists this ribosomal RNA (434 nucleotides) under Pseudomonas sp. F128. RNAcentral's name for it is "bacterial SSU rRNA". It matches the Rfam family "Bacterial small subunit ribosomal RNA", at positions 117 to 546 of the family's 1533-position model. Lineage: Bacteria; Pseudomonadati; Pseudomonadota; Gammaproteobacteria; Pseudomonadales; Pseudomonadaceae. The record is from RNAcentral.
UUAGGAAUCUGCCUAUUAGUGGGGGACAACGUUCCGAAAGGAGCGCUAAUACCGCAUACGUCCUACGGGAGAAAGCAGGGGACCUUCGGGCCUUGCGCUAAUAGAUGAGCCUAAGUCGGAUUAGCUAGUUGGUAGGGUAAAGGCCUACCAAGGCGACGAUCUGUAGCGGGUCUGAGAGGAUGAUCCGCCACACUGGGACUGAGACACGGCCCAGACUCCUACGGGAGGCAGCAGUGGGGAAUAUUGGACAAUGGGGGGAACCCUGAUCCAGCCAUGCCGCGUGUGUGAAGAAGGCCUUUUGGUUGUAAAGCACUUUAAGCGAGGAGGAGGCUACCUGGAUUAAUACUUUAGGAUAGUGGACGUUACUCGCAGAAUAAGCACCGGCUAACUCUGUGCCAGCAGCCGCGGUAAUACAGAGGGUGCGAGCGUUAAUC